GGAGCCUCAGCCUCUGGUGAAACUGGACUUUCAAGUCUGUGCAGGUGAAGGUGUGUGAGAGCGCCCGAGAUGGCAGAACAAGAGCUACAGAUGUCUGGGCUCAGGACAGUUUUGCGUCCCUGUGGAGACUACCAUUUACCCCUCUUUGCAAGGCACAGCUGCAUCUGGAAUCAACUUACGAUGGAUUGAUGUGGAAGAUUUGGGAAGUGGGCAGAUUGCAUCAGAAAAACCUCCAGAUUCUUCAUGCUGAUAAGACUCUUGAAAACUUACAUCGAAACUGAAGGAAAUGGAGGUAUUGUCCUCCAUCAGUCCCUUGACAUCUAACCCUGGCAUGGCUUCUGCUUCUCAGAGGACAUGAACAAACACAGAAGCCUCUACCCUUCUCUCUUUUAAAGUCAGUCUCACCCACCCCCAGCUGUUUCCUGGAGGAAACGCAUGUGCUCACAGAUGUGGGCUACCCAACACCACUCCUGUCCCCCCCACUCCUGCUCCUGCCCUGGCUUCCCGGAGAGAUGGCUGCACCACAGUCUCUGAUGUUCCCAAAGCCUCAUGAAGUCUCCUACUUAUUGCGCCACAUCUGCUCCUGUCUGUGGGCCCCCUGACGCCCACUUCUGCUGAUGCCGUGGGACUCAUAAUACACCAGAACCCUGUGCUUACCUGAGGUCAUGCCCACUGCAGACAAAAGUAGCCAGGCCUGUCUGCUCAGACGAGUGCCUCACCCUUACCUCACUACAAGGGUCCCUGUGGACAGCUGCCUUGUGCUGCCAUUGUCACAUCUGACUUUUUGUGAGAAGAGGUCAUUUCAUUUUUACCCACA
This is a long non-coding RNA of Panthera uncia (snow leopard), 817 nucleotides long. RefSeq lists it as uncharacterized. The transcript has 4 exons. The record is from RefSeq and is a predicted model, not a curated record. Lineage: Eukaryota; Metazoa; Chordata; Mammalia; Carnivora; Felidae.